This 253-nucleotide ribosomal RNA is filed under the name uncultured bacterium. RNAcentral describes it as "partial 16S ribosomal RNA". It matches the Rfam family "Bacterial small subunit ribosomal RNA", at positions 524 to 776 of the family's 1533-position model. The record is from RNAcentral.
UACGUAGGAGACGAGCGUUGUCCGGAGUUACUGGGCGUAAAGGGUGCGCAGGUGGCGGCGCGCGUGGGGGGUGAAAUCGCCCGGCUUAACUGGGCGGGGGCCUUCCAGACGGCGUGGCUUGAGCAGCGGAGGGGGACGUGGAAUUCCGGGUGGAGCGGUGAAAUGCGUUGAUAUCCUAAGGAACACCGGUGGCGAAAGCGGCGUACUGGGUCUUAUCUGACGCUGAGGCACGAAAGCUAGGGUAGCGAACGGG